UACGAAGGGUGCAAGCGUUAAUCGGAAUUACUGGGCGUAAAGGGUGCGUAGGCGGUUGUUUAAGUCUGUCGUGAAAUCCCCGGGCUCAACCUGGGAAUGGCGAUGGAUACUGGGCAGCUAGAGCGUGUCAGAGGAUGGUGGAAUUCCCGGUGUAGCGGUGAAAUGCGUAGAGAUCGGGAGGAACAUCAGUGGCGAAGGCGGCCAUCUGGGACAACACUGACGCUGAAGCACGAAAGCGUGGGGAGCAAACAGG
RNAcentral lists this ribosomal RNA (253 nucleotides) under uncultured bacterium. RNAcentral describes it as "partial 16S ribosomal RNA". It matches the Rfam family "Bacterial small subunit ribosomal RNA", at positions 524 to 776 of the family's 1533-position model. The record is from RNAcentral.